Long non-coding RNA from Lingula anatina, 528 nucleotides. The record is from RefSeq and is a predicted model, not a curated record. Lineage: Eukaryota; Metazoa; Brachiopoda; Lingulata; Lingulida; Lingulidae.
GGGACCAUAUUUCAUGACAAUGUUAUUCUGUGUUUCCUUGCUGAAGAUUGAUAGUGAUUUGCUUGCACAGAAACGUAUAAAUAGCGGCUUGGGUUGCAAAUCUCAUCACAGAGAACUGAUCCAGUCUCCUGCUAGGACAACUUCCAUUGGAACAAUGAAGUCUUGCGCUCUUCUUGUGCUCUUGGUGCUCUUUGCCACUGUUGUCAUAGAAGACACAGCCGGGCAAGGGGGAGCUCCGGGAGCUGCAUUGCGUGCUCAGUGCAGUUGCUGUGGUAACACGUGCAGCACCGACCGUGGGAGAUGCUACUGCAGAGGCUGCACCUGUGUUGCAAUCGAUUACCCAAGAUAAAAGAUAGCCUCCCGUCGAGAGGAAACAUGACCAGUUACGGAAGAAAACACGAAACUAGUCACUCAGCUAAAUGUAAAGCUGGUGUAUCUGGACAUUUUUGUGAAUUUUGAGUUCAGCAAUAAGUGGUCAUAAUAAAGAUUGUAGUAAAUACGGUGUAUCUACUGCAUUGUCAAAGUCCC